Molecule: ribosomal RNA, 736 nt
Filed under: uncultured Nocardioides sp.
Lineage: Bacteria; Bacillati; Actinomycetota; Actinomycetes; Propionibacteriales; Nocardioidaceae
Description: bacterial SSU rRNA
Rfam family: Bacterial small subunit ribosomal RNA
Source: RNAcentral
CUCGAGCGGCGAACGGGUGAGUAACACGUGAGUAAUCUGCCCUGCGCUCUGGGAUAGCCACCGGAAACGGUGAUUAAUACCGGGUAUGACCGCUUCACGCAUGUGAUGGUGGUGGAAAGUUUUUUCGGCGUGGGAUGUGCUCGCGGCCUAUCAGCUUGUUGGUGAGGUAAUGGCUCACCAAGGCUUUGACGGGUAACCGGCCUGAGAGGGUGACCGGUCACACUGGGACUGAGACACGGCCCAGACUCCUACGGGAGGCAGCAGUGGGGAAUAUUGGACAAUGGGCGGAAGCCUGAUCCAGCAACGCCGCGUGAGGGAUGACGGCCUUCGGGUUGUAAACCUCUUUCAGUACCGACGAAGCGUAAGUGACGGUAGGUACAGAAGAAGGACCGGCCAACUACGUGCCAGCAGUCGCGGUAAUACGUAGGGUCCGAGCGUUGUCCGGAAUUAUUGGGCGUAAAGGGCUCGUAGGCGGUUUGUCGCGUCGGGAGUGAAAACCUACAGCUUAACUGUGGGCUUGCUUCCGAUACGGGCAGACUAGAGGUAUGCAGGGGAGAAUGGAAUUCCUGGUGUAGCGGUGAAAUGCGCAGAUAUCAGGAGGAACACCGGUGGCGAAGGCGGUUCUCUGGGCAUUACCUGACGCUGAGGAGCGAAAGUGUGGGGAGCGAACAGGAUUAGAUACCCUGGUAGUCCACACCGUAAACGUUGGGCGCUAGGUGUGGGAUCCAUUCCACGG